Long non-coding RNA from Cydia splendana, 1367 nucleotides. RefSeq lists it as uncharacterized. NCBI's taxonomy places the organism in Eukaryota, Metazoa, Arthropoda, Insecta, Lepidoptera, Tortricidae. The record is from RefSeq and is a predicted model, not a curated record. The transcript is spliced from 2 exons.
ACUGUAAGUUUCCCGUUUUAGUGAACCAAUCUCAAUCGCCCGUUUUGCCCAUAUAUCAGCCACCUCAUUGCCUCUAAUACCACAGUGGCUUGGAACCCAUCCGAGAACAAUAUGUAGGCCCCUCGAUUCACACCUACGUAGCACAGCUUUAAUUUCAAGAAUCAAAGGAAAUUUGGCUUUAAAUUUUAAUUGAUUGCCUACUAUUGCCUGCAGGCAACUCCUACUGUCAGAAAAGAUAAUUGUUUUUUUAAUGUUAUGUGUGUCUGCAUAUUUGACAGCCUCAAGAAUAGCAACUGCCUCACCUGUGAAAAUGGACGCUUGAGGAGGACAUUUAAAUGGAAGGACGAUAUUGUACCGUGGAAUCCACACCGCUGCUCCCACACAUCUUGCAGGAUCCACCUUAGAAGCGUCAGUAAAAACCGUGACCUCCAGUGCCAGCGCCUGCAAGCGUGGGAGCAGCAAGUGGUUGUUGUAAGAGCUGGCUUUGAUCAAGAACCUGUCGGCGAGGUAUUGUCUGCGUAGAGCCAACGGCGGUUCAACACCUUCCACCUGCAUGCCAUUUUUGGGAGAGGGAAGCAUAGCACCUAGUAUGAUCCUUAAACAUUUAGCCUGUAUAAGAUCUAAUUUAUCUAGACCAUCCUUAUUACAGGGUUCCAUUAAAAAUGCCCCAUAGUCUAUAUGGCUACGUAUGAUGGCAUUGUAUAGUAGCUUCUGGCAAUAAGGAUGGGAACCCCACCAGACACCCGACAAUGCUCGAAGAAUAUUAAUAUUUUUCUCACAUUUACCCAGUACAUAUUUGUGGUGUGAGGUGCCAGACAUUUUAUGAUCUAAAAUAACACCUAGAAAUUUUACUGACUCUUUAUUUGGAAUCAUCACACCACCAUAACGGACAUCUGCGUCAGGCAUGGUCCUUCUGCGACUGAAAGUCACUACACAGCUUUUUGUUGGCGAUAGGGUCAAACCAUGUUCAUCAAGCCAAUCCUUGAGGUAACCCAAAGCUGUAUUAAGACUAGCAGUGGCUUUGUCCAUUGACUUUGCUGAGGUGUAUAAGACUAGGUCAUCAGCAUACUGCAAGAUAUUACAGAAGGAUAGGACAGAUUGCUCCAAGUCGUAGGUGUAGAUACUGUAAAGCAGGGGGCUGAGUACCGAUCCUUGCGGGAGACCACGCCACAAAGUUCGAGGUGGGUAAUAGGAAUUACCAUUCCUAAUUUUAAUUGACCUACCCAUGAACAAUUUGGUGACAAUAUGUACAAUCUUCGCGGGAAUGCUCAGAUGUAGCAUUUUUGCCCUGAGCACCGGAAGAAGGACAUUGUCGUAGGCCGCAGAGAUAUCUAGAAAACAUCCCAGCAGAUAUUCGUUUUUUGAAA